GUGCUCACUUCAGCACCACAAAGGCGAAAAUUGGAACGAUACAGAGGAGAUUAGCAAGGCCUCUGUGCCACGCUAAUUCAUGACGAAUUCCAUGUUUUU
This 99-nucleotide small nuclear RNA is filed under the name Sciurus vulgaris (Eurasian red squirrel). The record is from RNAcentral. Lineage: Eukaryota; Metazoa; Chordata; Mammalia; Rodentia; Sciuridae.